This is a long non-coding RNA of Puma concolor (puma), 599 nucleotides long. RefSeq lists it as uncharacterized. The record is from RefSeq and is a predicted model, not a curated record. Lineage: Eukaryota; Metazoa; Chordata; Mammalia; Carnivora; Felidae.
GGGGGAGCUAGAGGAGACACGGCCGAUAGGGACGUGUUUUGGAGGCAGAGCUGACAUGACUGAUGGACGUGGAAGUCGAUCUUCGUGGUACAGAUGGAAAAGCUGAAGUCCGCAGCGGCCGAAGGCAGUUUGGCCGGGAGCAGACAUCCUUACAACCACUGCUUCCUGCCUCCUGGGACGGUUUCUUGUCAUAGCCAAGUGGAGGGUUCGCAGCGCCCGUUUCGGACCACGCUGUGCCCACACGUGGAUGCUAUGUGCGUGGCAUGCAGCACGGGAGCCUUGGAGGGUUCGCCCCCGUCCCCCGCCUCCGCUGCUGUCCUCCUGUGUGUCCCCCACGUCGCAGACCCCGCGUUCGUGGCUGGCGUAUUCGAUGAUGUUUUCUAGAAAUGUCAAUAACAACUUCUGAAGGUCCUAUUCCCUCGCACCGUCAGGGACACUGGAGGCCCGUCCCUUCGCGUGGGUGCAGAGGGUCUCGGUCCCCUCGCACCUUCCUCCCUCCUGCCCGAAGCCCUUUGUCAGUGCAGGUUUCCCGGUGUUGUAUGUCCAGUAAAGCUGUGAGUUUGUCCUCGUGUUUGAAAUAUAUUUUUUCCUGGACAGAG